CGUAGAUUAUAUAAAAUAUAAUUGUUGUUUUUCGCUUUUAGUGAAUUUUUUUUUGUUAGUAAAUUUAUGUUAAUUAUGCUUCAUAAGCGUUUUGUCUAUGGUUGCUAUAAUCGAGAUGGUCUAAUCAAAAUAUAAAGUUAUUUCAGUAUAAUUAGUAAUAUUGUUUAUUAUUCCUAUACCUUUUUCGACCUAAAAUUAUGUGUUCAAGAUUUCCUGAUGACGAUAAUUAGAAAAAAAAAUAUCGUUGGAUCUUGUUUAAAGAGAAAGUUCACUGCGAUUAAAUCAAGUAGACUCUUCAGUGUUUAUUUUAGAUCAUCAGAGUUUUGUUGAAGCUCCUAGAAAACGACUGUUAAAAAAUAAUGCUGGACCAAGUACUCCUACUAAGAAAGUAUUUUAGGAAAAAAAUUAAUCGGCGCUGUUCUCUUUCUCAGCGGUAACAGUAGAAUUGACCAUAGUUUAUAGUUAAUCAAGUAAUCUAUGCAUAACAUAAUUACCAAAUGUAAAUGCGAUUUUACUCUUAGUUACAUCUUUUAAUAAUCCAUCGUUGAACUACAGUCCGGUUAGUUAAAUUUUAGUAAUUGAUUCAAAAAUUGUAUCAGAAAGUAUAAUUGAUGAACCAUAUGAUUUGACUUUUAGACCUAGUAAUUUCAACAUUUGAAUAAUAAUUUUUUUUAUAAUUUCACAUUUAAUAUUAUAAUUAUGACAUAUUACUUAUAGGUGGUUAUAUUUAACCAAAUACUCCACAAUACACACCUUCACUGAAAAAGAAAUGUAAGGGAAAGAUAAUUGAAUCUCCAAUUAAAAGUAGCCUCAAGAAAAAGGUAAAAGUUUUACAACAGAAAGUUCCAAGACAAAAUUCUAAAAUAACUACACCGGAGGUAUUAUAUUAUAAAUGAUAAUUGGUAAUUAGAUUAAAAAUUAAUAGUUUUGCUCAGUCUAUUGUAAUAUAAUGUCUAUUGUUUUAAUCUAAUAUAUAGAUAAUAUGUGGCCUUUGUGAUUUUAUUUGACUAAAUGUGUAAACUGUU
Non-coding RNA from Cinara cedri, 1025 nucleotides. Lineage: Eukaryota; Metazoa; Arthropoda; Insecta; Hemiptera; Aphididae. The record is from the annotation of a GenBank genome assembly.